UACGGGGGGGGCAAGCGUUGUGCGGAAUUACUGGGCGUAAAGGGUGCGUAGGUGGUUUGUUAAGUCUGCUGUGAAAUCCCCGGGCUCAACCUGGGAAUGGCAGUGGAUACUGGCAAGCUAGAGUGCGGUAGAGGGUAGUGGAAUUCCCGGUGUAGCAGUGAAAUGCGUAGAGAUCGGGAGGAACACCAGUGGCGAAGGCGGCUACCUGGACCAGCACUGACACUGAAGCACGAAAGCGUGGGGAGCAAACAGG
Molecule: ribosomal RNA, 253 nt
Filed under: uncultured bacterium
Lineage: Bacteria
Description: partial 16S ribosomal RNA
Rfam family: Bacterial small subunit ribosomal RNA
Source: RNAcentral